CGACGAAUCUUCCGCAAUGGGCGCAAGCCUGACGGAGCGACGCCGCGUGUGGGAUGAAGCGCCUUCGGCGUGUAAACCACUGUCAGGGGGUAGAACCAAUGAUCACCCCCAGAGGAAGAGACGGCUAACCCUGUGCCAGCAGCCGCGGUAAGACAGGGGUCUCGAGCGUUAAUCGGAAUUACUGGGCUUAAAGGGUGCGUAGGUGGGCCUGCAAGUGCUCCGUGAAAUCCCCCGGCUCAACCGGGGAACUGCGGGGCAUACUGCGGGCCUUGAGGAAGGUAGGCGCCGAGGGAACAGUAGGUGGAGCGGUGAAAUGCGUAGAUAUCUACUGGAACGCCGAUGGUGAAGACGCUCGGCUGGGCCUUUCCUGACACUGAGGCACGAAAGCGUGGGGAGCAAACAGGAUUAGAUACCCGCGUAGUCC
This 424-nucleotide ribosomal RNA is filed under the name uncultured bacterium. RNAcentral describes it as "bacterial SSU rRNA". It matches the Rfam family "Bacterial small subunit ribosomal RNA", at positions 355 to 796 of the family's 1533-position model. The record is from RNAcentral.